AUGGCUGUCGUCAGCUCGUGUCGUGAGAUGUUGGGUUAAGUCCCGUAACGAGCGCAACCCCUAUCCUUAUUUGCCAGCACAUUAUGGUGGGAACUAUAAGGAGACUGCCGGUGAUAAACCGGAGGAAGGCGGGGACGACGUCAAGUCAUCAUGGCCCUUACGACCAGGGCUACACACGUGCUACAAUGGGAAGUACAAAGAGUCGCGAAGCCGCGAGGUGUAGCUAAUCUCACAAAUCUUCUCGUAGUCCGGAUUGGAGUCUGCAACUCGACUCCAUGAAGUCGGAAUCGCUAGUAAUCGUAGAUCAGAAUGCUACGGUGAAUACGUUCCCGGGUCUUGUACACACCGCCCGUCAUACCAUGGGAGUGGGUUGCACCAGAAGUGGCUAGUCUAACUUUGUGAGGACGGUCACCACGGUGUGAUUCAUGACUGGGGUAAAGUCGUAACAAGGUAGCCCUACCGGAAGGUGGGGCUGGAUCACCUCCUUAAGAAAAGUACGAGUGUUCACACAAGUUGUUUGAUAAAAAUAUAGUAGAGAGAAAAGACCAAUAACCCAAAAUCAAUGUUAUUGAUAUUAAGGGUCUGUAGCUCAGUUGGUUAGAGCGCACCCCUGAUAAGGGUGAGGUCGGUGGUUCAAAUCCACCCAGACCCACCAUUUUACUGGGUUAUUAGUUUUAUUUUGGGGGCUAUAGCUCAGCUGGGAGAGCGCCUGAUUUGCAUUCAGGAGGUCAGCAGUUCGAUCCUGCUUAGCUCCACCAUUUUCUCUGAUGAAAACUUAAAUAAGAUUUAUUGUUAAGUUUUAUUUAAGUUUUUAUACCUAACCUUGGUUAGGAGCUCUUUAACAAUUUGGAUAUGAAGUAAAGUUUGUUAAAUACAAUACAACGUAUAAGUAGAUAUAUGUAAAUGUUAUCGAAGGUGUAUUGCAUUGACACAACAAUUUCAAAAAAUAUGGAUUCUCGAUGAUAGAUUAAUCUCUAUCAUUGAAAAUAGAAAUCACCGAUUAGAUCGAAAGAUUUAGUUAGUGACUUCACAAGGUGAAAUACGAAACCAGAUAACCUAGAUAUUUUGGGGUUAUAUGGUCAAGUGAAUAAGUGCAUACGACGGAUGCCUUGGCAGUAGAAGGCGAUGAAGGACGUGAUAAUCUGCGAUAAGCUUCGGUUAGCUGAUAAAUGAGCUUUAACCCGGAGAUCUCCGAAUGGGGAAACCCGG
This 1209-nucleotide small RNA is filed under the name uncultured bacterium. RNAcentral describes it as "bacterial SSU rRNA". The stretch from base 1 to 488 matches the Rfam family "Bacterial small subunit ribosomal RNA", at positions 1045 to 1533 of the family's 1533-position model. The record is from RNAcentral.